ACCGUUAUGACUCAGCUGGUAGAGCAUUCGCCCGGUAAACGGAAUGUCGCCCGUUCGAUUCUGGCUUGCGGUG
Molecule: transfer RNA, 73 nt
Filed under: Fasciola gigantica
Lineage: Eukaryota; Metazoa; Platyhelminthes; Trematoda; Plagiorchiida; Fasciolidae
Rfam family: tRNA
About the family: Transfer RNA (tRNA) molecules are approximately 80 nucleotides in length. Their secondary structure includes four short double-helical elements and three loops (D, anti-codon, and T loops).
Source: Rfam by way of RNAcentral